GACGAACGCUGGCGGCGCGCUUAACACAUGCAAGUCGAACGGAAAGGCCUGCUUUCCCUUGUGGAUUGCGGGUACUCGAGUGGCGAACGGGUGAGUAACACGUGAGUGAUCUGCCCCCAACUUGGGUAUAAGCCUGGGAAACUGGGUCUAAUUCCCGAUAGGACUGCAGGGUGGUGCCUGUGGUGGAAAACGAUUUUCUAGUGGUUGGGGAUGAGCUCGCGGCCUAUCAGCUUGUUGGUGGGGUAAUGGCCUACCAAGGCGGCGACGGGUAGCCGGCCUGAGAGGGUGGACGGCCACAUUGGGACUGGGAUACGGCCCAGACUCCUACGGGAGGCAGCAGUGGGGAAUAUUGCACAAUGGGCGGAAGCCUGAUGCAGCGACGCCGCGUGGGGGAUGACGGCCUUCGGGUUGUAUACUCCUUUCGACCGCGAGGAAGCCACCUGGUUGGAAGGGUGGUGACGGUAGUGGUAGAAGAAGCACCGGCUAACUACGUG
This 494-nucleotide ribosomal RNA is filed under the name uncultured bacterium. RNAcentral's name for it is "partial 16S ribosomal RNA". It matches the Rfam family "Bacterial small subunit ribosomal RNA", at positions 28 to 507 of the family's 1533-position model. The record is from RNAcentral.